This 253-nucleotide ribosomal RNA is filed under the name uncultured bacterium. RNAcentral's name for it is "partial 16S ribosomal RNA". It matches the Rfam family "Bacterial small subunit ribosomal RNA", at positions 524 to 776 of the family's 1533-position model. The record is from RNAcentral.
UACGUAGGGGGCAAGCGUUGUCCGGAAUCAUUGGGCGUAAAGCGCGCGUAGGCGGCCCGGUAAGUCCGUUGUAAAAGUCAAAGGCUCAACCUUUGAAAGCCGAUGGAUACUGCCGGGCUAGAAUCCGGAAGAGGCGAGUGGAAUUCCUGGUGUAGCGGUGAAAUGCGCAGAUAUCAGGAGGAACACCGGUGGCGAAGGCGGGUCUCUGGGCCGAUACUGACGCUGAGGAGCGAAAGCGUGGGGAGCGAACAGG